Sus scrofa (pig) is the source of this 787-nucleotide non-coding RNA. Lineage: Eukaryota; Metazoa; Chordata; Mammalia; Artiodactyla; Suidae. The record is from RefSeq and is a predicted model, not a curated record.
UCAUUUAAUCAUUUAAUCAUUCAAAAUCGUAGUUACUGAGUUCAUACUGAAGAAAGACCCACAACUUUCACUACAUUGUUCAAUUAUACAGUGGCCACCCCAGAAUCAUUAGACAUCCUUCUGACUGCUCAUCAAGUUAUCUUUUCCAAGUGGCAGCUGAUUUUUUCACUGCUUGUUAUAAUCCCUAAAUUAUCUGUAGGUGGAUCUAAAACUCAGCUUUUUGAGGUCAAUCCUGUCAGUGGUAGUGUGGUUUUGUAAAUACUAACAGAUGAACACAUAUUGUUGUCGAAGAUUAAUAAGUAGAACAGCAGUGGGGAACCCUUAACUCCAAGAGACAGCUGGGUAGAGGGAGGCCAAUUAAAGAAAGACGUGGUCUUGUUUUGAUUCUGGGCCCGUAAAUUGGCACUGGAGGAUCUUCUACUUAGUACGCAGCAUUCCAGGAUCCUUGAAAUAGCAGCCCUGGCCACCAAUGGAGCCACAAAGGGAGACCUAGGAGAGCAGACUUGGAUAAGAACUCUUACCUUGUGCUGGCUUCCCCCAGGAUCCUGCACGCUCUGGAGCAAGCGGGGUGUCCCAGCGGGUCUCUUCCUGGUCAUGAGAAACCGAAGAGGAGGAAAAUGUUUUCCUCCUACGCUUUAUGACAAGCAAAAGCUAAGAGAAUUCAGCACCACUAAACCAGCUUUACAACGAAUAGUAAAGGAACAUCUCUAGAUGGAAAAGAGAAGACCACAGCUAGAAACAGAAAUAUUACAAAUGACAAGACUCACCAGUAAAGGCACACAUAGAG